CUAUGCAUCAGAUUUCAUUUCAAGUGAUGAGUAAAAUAUCCAGAAAGAUAUAUAAUCUGUUCUUUUUGCCCUCUAGCUUAGCACACUGAAUUCUUUGAGCCAUCUGGUGUCAAUCCGUGUGGGAAAAUGAUCAAUGAAAACAAUUUAAGGAAUGCAUCUUAUAGAUGUUUCAUAUUGUAGGUCUAUUCAGCCUAUUUUGUCAUGGUGGUGUUAUCAUUUUUCAAACUUUAUUUUUGUGUAAUAAUUAGGCAUAUUGAUACAUAAUCAUGUUCAUGUUUUGUGCUGUCUUGCUUUGCAGAUGACAGAAUAUUGCUGAAGGAUCCUACAUGGAAGCUGGCUGAUUACACGGAGUGAUUCCUCUGGUGUGGUGUACCUCAGAGAAAUAAACACUGUUGCAAGAGGUGAGUUUAAGUUUAUAAAGUCACACAAAACCUAUCCAUGUGUUUUUAAAAAGUCAAAGUUCUAACUUGCUCUGUAUUUCAUGCUGUCAAUAUGAGAUGCAUACUAAUGUUGUGUGUUAUUAUUGCAGCUGAGAAGAUGGCCAAGAUAUCCUUAUUGCUGGAUGGUAGCUCUGGUCGUAGUGGACCAUAUCUGCAAAUGCUUCUGAACAUUGACAGAAUUUCUAAAGAUGACUGAGAAUAUUACUGAAGGAUCCUACAUGGAAGCUGUCUGAUUACACUGAGUGAUUCCUCUGGUGUGGUGUACCUCAGAGAAAAUAAACACUGUUGCAAGAGCUGAGAAGAUAUCCUUAUUGCUGGAUGGUUGCUCUCUGGUCGUACUUGAGCCCCCUGGACCAUGUCUGCAAAUGCUUCUGAACAUUGACAGAAUUUCUAAAGGAUCGCUGAGGACUCCCCCUCCAUGCGUGACCUCUUUGAGAAAUUUCCACGCUUUCUGGAGAUGCCAAGUUUGACUGGAACCAACUUUGCAUCCCUCGGCACUAACACUGAGAAGGUUUCAAGGACCCCACUACUAGGAGGCGAGAGUUUGACACGGCAGUGUCAUCACUGCCAUGGAUGACAACGUAACCAUUCCUGUUGCUGAUUGCCUGACUUGCGCAGUGACAAGCUUUUCAUGCUCUACCGGGUGUGUAACUUGGCAUAUCCACCACAGUUUAACUCUGUUUCUGCCUCUUUUGAAUAUGUGUACGAUAUAACCAUCUCAACCAACAAGUGGGCCAAGGUACUGGAACAUUUCUCACUUCAAGUUGCUCUGUAGUCACUGGACAUUUUUUUAAACAUCUACGCAGACACCACCACUCCACAUCAUGUGUAUUUUAAUUAGGCCUACUUCUGAUUCCACUGACAUGCAGGCUACAUCCUAUGCAAAUUCAGGUAAUUUACCUGGUACUGGAGAAACAGCAUUGUAUGCCAUUCUAAGUGAUACUUGCCUCCUUGUUUUGCAAAAAUGUACUGUUUUUUGAAUAUAAUUUAAAGUAAGAUCAUGUUGACUCUGAGGUGUUCUCCGGUUGUCAAGCACAACCUUAACAUUUUGUAAGUAAGUAAUAGUCACAGGAUAUGCAUGCAUUUGUAAUUUGAAUUUUCGUUGAAAACGGCUCACCAAGCAUAAAAUGUUACCUCUGCUUUUGAUUUUUCUUUUUUUUUAAAUGUCCCUUAAUACCAGCCUGUCUUUUUGUUGUGUCCACACAACUUUACCAUCAGCAGUGUUGGGAAGGAACAGAUUGCUGUAAGUUACUGUAUCCCCAUCCUUUCAGAUCAGUGCUUUAAAGCCUUUUGAAAUUAAAUUGUUAAUAAACUUUUUGAAAACAAACUCAAA
Molecule: long non-coding RNA, 1773 nt
Organism: Engraulis encrasicolus (European anchovy)
Lineage: Eukaryota; Metazoa; Chordata; Actinopteri; Clupeiformes; Engraulidae
Exons: 5
Source: RefSeq, a predicted model, not a curated record